This 565-nucleotide ribosomal RNA is filed under the name uncultured Azospira sp. RNAcentral describes it as "bacterial SSU rRNA". It matches the Rfam family "Bacterial small subunit ribosomal RNA", at positions 18 to 576 of the family's 1533-position model. The record is from RNAcentral. Lineage: Bacteria; Pseudomonadati; Pseudomonadota; Betaproteobacteria; Rhodocyclales; Rhodocyclaceae.
CCUGGCUCAGAUUGAACGCUGGCGGCAUGCCUUACACAUGCAAGUCGAACGGCAGCACGGGAGCUUGCUCCUGGUGGCGAGUGGCGAACGGGUGAGUAAUACAUCGGAACGUACCCAGGAGUGGGGGAUAACGUAGCGAAAGUUACGCUAAUACCGCAUAUUCUGUGAGCAGGAAAGCGGGGGAUCGCAAGACCUCGCGCUCUUGGAGCGGCCGAUGUCGGAUUAGCUAGUUGGUGAGGUACAAGCUCACCAAGGCGACGAUCCGUAGCAGGUCUGAGAGGAUGAUCUGCCACACUGGGACUGAGACACGGCCCAGACUCCUACGGGAGGCAGCAGUGGGGAAUUUUGGACAAUGGGGGCAACCCUGAUCCAGCCAUGCCGCGUGAGUGAAGAAGGCCUUCGGGUUGUAAAGCUCUUUCGGCGGGGAAGAAAUGGCAACGGCUAAUAUCCGUUGUUGAUGACGGUACCCGCAUAAGAAGCACCGGCUAACUACGUGCCAGCAGCCGCGGUAAUACGUAGGGUGCGAGCGUUAAUCGGAAUUACUGGGCGUAAAGCGUGCGCAGGC